GCACGGCGUCGUGUCGAGGACACAUCCUUCACGGAAAACAUGUCGAAUUCGCGAUCUUACCUCGCGGAAUUCACCGGAGGAUGUCACAUGACUUGGUGCAAUGUUGUGACAUCGCGUUAAGAUCUCUGUGUUCCCCUGACGUGGAUAUUUAUUGAUAGAACAUUGCAGUUUUAUGCGUUUUAUCCUUUUCUUUCGCCGAACCAACGGUGCAUCAUGGAGAGGGUUUCGUGGCUUUGAUAUCACACAAGAUCUAGUUUCAUACAUAGGCCGCGUAGAAGCUACGUUGAUCAAUUUCAUCAACUUGGAAAAUACAGAGAAGCGAUGAUGCUAGACUACAGUUAAC
RNAcentral lists this unclassified non-coding RNA (343 nucleotides) under Bombus terrestris (buff-tailed bumblebee). RNAcentral's name for it is "misc RNA ENSBTSG00005023854.1". Lineage: Eukaryota; Metazoa; Arthropoda; Insecta; Hymenoptera; Apidae. The record is from RNAcentral.